RNAcentral lists this long non-coding RNA (101 nucleotides) under Cyanistes caeruleus (blue tit). Its description in RNAcentral is "lncRNA (ENSCCEG00000020299.1)". Lineage: Eukaryota; Metazoa; Chordata; Aves; Passeriformes; Paridae. The record is from RNAcentral.
UUGUUUGUGUCCUGAACCCACCAUAUUCCAAGUCAAUAAGCAUGGUCUGAUCUCCUACACAGAGUAAGGAACACCAAAGUCCAGAAAUCAUCUAAUUUUCC